CAUCAUCAGAAAGGAUAAUUCAUCUCAUCCACAACAUAUGUUGUGUAGGAAGGUGUCCUAAGAUUUAUUCCAAACUCAUCACAUGAUAGUGCAAAUUAAGACUCCUCAAAUAUUUACAAAAUAUAAAUUAAAUUAACCUACAAGCAAAACAUUACGAUUAUAGCCCAAAAUGUAGAUUCAGAAACAUAAUAAAUAUAUUUGGCAUCACAAAAUCAGAUCAAGUGUUGGAUUAUAUAUAUUGCUUCAUCCUUAUCUACAAUUCAAAUCAAAUUAACAAACAAACAUAGAUCUAGAAGCAAUAAUUCAAAACGGCUUAAACCAUUUAAUCACAUGGUAAAAAAAAAUUGAAAUUUUGUUCCCCGACGUCCAUAUACAGCAUUAGAUUUGCAGUAGUGGAUAGCGAGGGGAACACAAUUAUAGGCUUCAUAGAACAUUGCAAACACAAUAAAUUAGGUGCAAGCAU
RNAcentral lists this long non-coding RNA (463 nucleotides) under Medicago truncatula (barrel medic). RNAcentral describes it as "lncRNA gene31937". Lineage: Eukaryota; Viridiplantae; Streptophyta; Magnoliopsida; Fabales; Fabaceae. The record is from RNAcentral.